Molecule: ribosomal RNA, 798 nt
Filed under: uncultured Ferribacterium sp.
Lineage: Bacteria; Pseudomonadati; Pseudomonadota; Betaproteobacteria; Rhodocyclales; Azonexaceae
Description: bacterial SSU rRNA
Rfam family: Bacterial small subunit ribosomal RNA
Source: RNAcentral
AUUAGAGUUUGAUCCUGGCUCAGGAUGAACGCUAGCGGCAGGCUUAACACAUGCAAGUCGAGGGGUAUGCUUCUUCGGAAGCAGAGACCGGCGCACGGGUGCGUAACGCGUAUGCAAUCUACCUUUCACAAAGGGAUAGCCCAGAGAAAUUUGGAUUAAUACCUUAUAGUAAUGCGACUUGGCAUCAAGAUGUAUUUAAAGAUUUAUCGGUGAAAGAUGAGCAUGCGUCCCAUUAGCUAGUUGGUAUGGUAACGGCAUACCAAGGCUACGAUGGGUAGGGGUCCUGAGAGGGAGAUCCCCCACACUGGUACUGAGACACGGACCAGACUCCUACGGGAGGCAGCAGUGAGGAAUAUUGGACAAUGGGCGCAAGCCUGAUCCAGCCAUGCCGCGUGCAGGAUGACGGUCCUAUGGAUUGUAAACUGCUUUUGUACAGGAAGAAACCCUUUCACGUGUGGAAGAUUGACGGUACUGUAAGAAUAAGGAUCGGCUAACUCCGUGCCAGCAGCCGCGGUAAUACGGAGGAUCCAAGCGUUAUCCGGAAUCAUUGGGUUUAAAGGGUCCGUAGGCGGUCAGAUAAGUCAGCGGUGAAAUCUUCGAGCUUAACUCGGAAACUGCCAUUGAUACUAUCGAUCUUGAAUCAUCUAGAGGUAAGCGGAAUAUGUCAUGUAGCGGUGAAAUGCUUAGAUAUGACAUAGAACACCAAUUGCGAAGGCAGCUUACUAUGGAUGUAUUGACACUGAGGCACGAAAGCGUGGGGAUCAAACAGGAUUAGAUACCCUGGUAGAAUCACUAGUG